This 253-nucleotide ribosomal RNA is filed under the name uncultured bacterium. Its description in RNAcentral is "partial 16S ribosomal RNA". It matches the Rfam family "Bacterial small subunit ribosomal RNA", at positions 524 to 776 of the family's 1533-position model. The record is from RNAcentral.
GACGAACCGUGCGAACGUUGUUCGGAAUCACUGGGCUUAAAGGGCGCGUAGGCGGCUCGCAAAGUCCGGGGUGAAAGCCCCCAGCUCAACUGGGGAAGUGCCUCGGAUACUGGCGAGCUCGAGGGAGGUAGGGGCGGAUGGAACUUCCGGUGGAGCGGUGAAAUGCGUUGAUAUCGGAAGGAACGCCGGUGGCGAAAGCGAUCCGCUGGCCCUCUACUGACGCUGAGGCGCGAAAGCCAGGGGAGCAAACGGG